GGGGCCGUAGUUCAGUUGGGAGAACGUUUGACUGGCAGUCAAAAGGUCACCGGUUCGAUCCCGGUCGGCUCCA
Molecule: transfer RNA, 73 nt
Filed under: candidate division Zixibacteria bacterium 4484_95
Lineage: Bacteria; Pseudomonadati; Candidatus Zixiibacteriota
Also listed under: 1 other name
Description: tRNA-Ala
Rfam family: tRNA
About the family: Transfer RNA (tRNA) molecules are approximately 80 nucleotides in length.
Source: RNAcentral